Molecule: non-coding RNA, 1771 nt
Organism: Peromyscus maniculatus bairdii (prairie deer mouse)
Lineage: Eukaryota; Metazoa; Chordata; Mammalia; Rodentia; Cricetidae
Source: RefSeq, a predicted model, not a curated record
UCAACAAUCCUCAGAUACACUGAGCCAGUUUUGACGCUUUCUCUGUCUCUGUCUCUCUCUUCCUCUCCCUCUCUCACUAUGUAGUACAGGCUGGCAAACUGGCUCCAUACUCUUGAUUCCUCUGUCUCAGUUUCUCAAGUAUGCAAUACUGUGUCUGGCCUCUGAAACUACUCAUUAUUGAAGGACAACGUAACCAACUAAGAACAGAAAGCAUGGAUGCGAAUAUAGUUGAUUAAAACAGAAAUGAGAUCAUCCAUUCCUCUUUGGCAUUCAGGUUAUUUUGUGUAAUCUUAAUCUAAAUAAUUAAAUACCUGUCAUCUGCUAUUCAUCAAAGAAAAGAUCACCUGGCCAGCAACAUGGUUCCUCAGGUUCUUUGAUGUGAAGAAAGAAUCUCAGCUUCCAGAGUGGUGAUAAUGGAAUUUCUUUUCCAGUCAGACUCUUCAUAUAUAAUCCAACCAUGUCAUAAUCCUUCUGACUUCCUUCCGACUCCCUGAUGCAGGCCGCGCGCUAACGACAGAGCCUGCACUGAGGAGACACUGUUGGAGAGAGAAAACGAGCCAAGUGUUUCAUCUCAUAAUAAAAGCAACUAAACCAUGUUGGGGUUGGUGGAAGAUAAAAACUAUAAAGUCCUAUUUUAUAGCUCCUCUCAUUACUUAGCUAUACAAUAAGAAACUCUUUAGAUUUCUUUUGAGGAGAGAAUGUAUACAUAAUAAUAAUAAUCUGUAAAACUAUAGCUAUGUGCAUUAAAAUAGAACAUGCUUAUAUUACAAACAAAUUUAAUGAUUACAUGCUAUCAGUCAUGUUAUAUAUCAACUGUAAAGUAUAUUUGAGCAGGUAAAAUAAUAUCUAAUGAAAUAGCUAAAAGGCCACUUAAAAUCAGCUUCAAAACAGUGCAUUUAUCCGUGAAGAUCUGAAGAUAAAUGAGUUUGUUAUUCAUGACAUCUAAUAAGUUAUCCUGUCAAUACUCACAGCAUAAUUGGAUAGAGUACAAUUUGCAUGGAAAAAUAAGAGAUUAAAAGAUUCCAAAACCAAAUUUAGUUAUUUCUAUAAAUAUUAGCAUCAAUCAAAGCUUUUAAGGUUAAGACUAACAGAGUUGAGAGGAUCAAUUAAAAAGUAUUAAACCUUUUUGAAAACUAUAAAUCCCAUUAUAACUCAGCUGUUUCUAAUUGAGCAUCUAUUGUGUACAAAAUUCUCUGAGAGGACAAGAGUUUCAAUGCAAUGGAUCUGAAUUCAUUGGUGCAGGUGAUGGCAGCUGAAUCCAAGGAUGAGAAAGGUAGGGUUUGGCCACUGAGAGGUGAGGUAAGGGCCUCUGUCAUUAGAAGCAGCCACAGUUCUGCUUCGUGGAGGAUGCAGAGUGUGAAGAUAGAGAGUGUGGCUUAUGCAGUUCGAAAGAAAGGGCUGGGGUACCACUUCGACAGGGUAAGAGGAAUAGAGAUUACGAGAUAAAAAUAUGGCCCAGGAGUAGUACUAAUGAGACUAUUUCUCUUCUUCAUACUUACAGAGACAAAAGUGACUGUCAUCAUUACUAUAUAUUUAAACAUUUCUAUUAUCUAUAAGUCAUACUAGUAUCUAUGAUUUUUAUAUGAUCCACUGAAGAGACCAGUUAUGAUUGGUGGUAUUCCAGUAUUACAGAUAAAGACAAUGUUUUGAGAGGGAGAGAGAGAAAUUACUUAUUCAUAGUCACAUAUCUAGAAAAUAUGAAUAUGCAUGCUGUGGAUAUCACUCUGGGUAAAUAAAAUGCUGAUUGGCCAGUAGCCAGGCAGGAAGUAUA